Molecule: non-coding RNA, 158 nt
Filed under: Azospirillaceae bacterium
Lineage: Bacteria; Pseudomonadati; Pseudomonadota; Alphaproteobacteria; Rhodospirillales; Azospirillaceae
Description: 6S RNA
Rfam family: 6S / SsrS RNA
About the family: E. coli 6S RNA was the first non coding RNA to be sequenced, but its function was unknown until recently.
Source: RNAcentral
AGGUGGCUGCGCGGUUCGUCAGGUCGCUUUAUCCCCAGGGCCGAUACCCAUCCUCUCGGGGGCUGUCCCUGUCGACGCCGUGGUGUCGAACAUAUGGCUCCCACCUGCCUGGCAGGCCAUGGAGGAUACACAUGGCCAACGGCUGAUGUGGCCCCUUC